This 1060-nucleotide ribosomal RNA is filed under the name uncultured Boletaceae. RNAcentral's name for it is "eukaryotic LSU rRNA". The stretch from base 259 to 413 matches the Rfam family "5.8S ribosomal RNA". Lineage: Eukaryota; Fungi; Basidiomycota; Agaricomycetes; Boletales; Boletaceae. The record is from RNAcentral.
GGAUCAUUAUCGAAUAACUUGAGGGGAAAGGGGGAAGAGGAAUGGACUGUCGCUGGCUUUGGCUUUGGCUUUGACUUUCCGAUAAGCAGCAAAGCAUGUGCACGUUCCCCUCGAUCUCUUUCAUCCUUUCAAUACACCUGUGCACCCACCGUAGGUCCUCGAAAGAGGAUCUAUGAUUUUACUACAUAUCACACCCAUCGUAUGUCCAGAAUGUCUGAAUCACCUAGUCGAAAGACGAAGUGAAACAAAUAAAUGUACAACUUUCAGCAACGGAUCUCUUGGUUCUCGCAUCGAUGAAGAACGCAGCGAAUUGCGAUAAGUAAUGUGAAUUGCAGAUUUCCAGUGAAUCAUCGAAUCUUUGAACGCACCUUGCGCUCCUUGGUAUUCCGAGGAGCAUGCCUGUUUGAGUGUCAUUGAAUUAUCAAUCAAGUCUUGAUCCUAUUUCAAGGCUUGACUUGGACUUUGGGGGUUGUUGGCUUCGAAAGAGAAGUUAGCUCUCCUGAAAUGCAUUAGCAAACACCAGUGAGUCUUUUCGAUGAGCGUGCACGGCCUAUCGACGUGAUAAUGAUCGUUGGGGCUGGAAGCGUAGCAAAAGAAUGGAACUUGGUUUGCUUCCAACCAAUAAAUAAAUAAAUCACUGAGGGAAAAGGAGGGGCGGGUGGGUGAAGAGAAGCCAAAGCCCAAGUUAGCUACUAGUCAGCCUGAUCAUAAGGCUGGCGAACGCGGCUCCGAGCGGAUCUUUCUUCUCUAACUCUUCUAAUGGUCUCAAUGUCUGGGUGAAAGGUAUCGAAAGGGGAGUCAGGACAAGUUAGCUACUAGUCAGUCAUAAGGCUGGCGAACACAGCUUGGAUCCACACACUCUUUGAUUCCUACAGCUCAAGCUCAGAUCAGAUCCCCUUGACUUGACUCUUUGAAAGUGGUUUGUUUGUUUGUUUCUACUUUCUUGACCUCAAAUCAGGUAGGACUACCCGCUGAACUUAAGCAUAUCAAUAAGCGGAGGAAAAGAAACUAACAAGGAUUCCCCUAGUAACUGCGAGUGAAGCGGGAACAGCUCAAAUUU